CAAGUUCCCAGGAGAGGGGCUGGGCCUCUCCAGGCAGGAACUGGAGCCAGAGGCUUCCCCUGCUACUCGCUGGGAUAGAAGAACAUCAGGAAUGACUUUCAGUGCAGUAGUUCCUGUGGUGCUCGCAGAAGCCACGCGGCUUGGGUGCAAUCAAACUGCGGCCCAGCCUCAUCCCGGCAGGAAUCCAGAUGCAGGCCAAGUACAGCAGCACAAGGGACAUGCUGGAUGACGAUGGGGACACCGUCGUGAGUGUGCAUUCUCGAGCCUCGUCUCCAAGCCAGCAGCCAGAGGCUGGACGCAAAGGGCACCGGCCUCCCUCUUCAGUUUGGCGACCAGUGGCCCUGACCUUGCUGACUCUGUGUUUGGUGCUACUGCUUGGCCUGUUGGCCCUGGGGCUUGUGUUUUUCCAGUUCUACCAGCUUUCCAACACUCAGCAAGACAGCAUUUCUAACAAGGAAGAAAGAUUGGCGAAUCUCUCCCGACAGCUGCAGUCUCUCCAGACAAAGAACAGGAAGCUUGCAGAAAUUCUGCAGCGCGUGGCUGAAAAACUGUGUCGUGAGCUGUAUAACAAAACUGGAGAACACAGAUGCAGCCCUUGUCCAGAAAAAUGGAAAUGGCAUGGGGACAAAUGCUACCGAUUCUGUAGAGACAGCAAGAGUUGGCAAGGCUGUGAAUAUUUCUGCCUUGCAGAGAACGCCACCAUGCUGAAGAUAAACACGCAGGAAGUGCUGGAGUUUGCCAUGCCUCAGAGCUACUCUGAGUUUUUCUACUCUUAUUGGACAGGGCUAUCCCGCAAUGGCAGCAGACAGGCGUGGCUAUGGACCGACGGAACCCCGUAUUCCUCUGAACUGUUUGAGAUUAUAAUAGAUUUCACCAGCCUAAGAAGCAGGGACUGUGUGACCAUCCUCAAUGGGAAGGCUUUCUCAAAGGACUGCAAAGAGUUGAGGCGGUGUGCGUGUGAAAGAAGGGCUGAAGCAGUGAAGCUUGAGAGCCUCCAUUAGCCUCUCUGAGCCAUUAGGUGGAAGUGAUUGACUCUUCCGCCAUAAAGGUGAUGUCAAGCUCCCUUCAGGGAAAUUGAAGAUCAGAACAAAAGUCAAUUUCUUUAUGGGCACCUGUAAUAAUUUGGUUUCAGUUCCUUUUUUUCUCCUAUUGGAGCCAUGUUUGUACAACAAAGCAGCAAAAUGAUUUGAGCCAAGCAAGGUCAUUGCAAAGGAUAUUUGAGACAUUGGGAAAUGGGAAAAAAGGAGGAAAGGCAGUUUCUCUGACAGGUACAAGAAGCACUUGCCUGUUUCCUGCUCAAGAUCGCCAGCAUUUCUGAGCUUGGGUUCAUGCAAAUGUUUAUGAGUCACAAAGAAGUCCUACCUGCAUACCACCCACCAGUCGCAGACUUUCGUAAAGUUGUAAUCUACCUUCUUGACCUAGAGAUGCUUUCCAGCGUUCUUCCUUCUCAUCAUCUAAUAUCAUCUGCCUUUUGCCAUGUCUUCCUUAAUAUUUGGAGAAGUGAGAAACUUACUGAAGUAGAGGAAAUAAAGGUGCCCUCCUCAAUCAGCUACUUUGUAAAGGGAUUCUUGUCAUUUUCGCAGAAUGCAAAAACCAUCGUUAUUUGAUUUACAGUGUACAUAACUUUUUUACAACGUUCAGCAGAAAAUUAGAGAAAAAUCCCUGUUAUUGAAAAGCCCACCGUUUAAACUCCAGGUCAAGGAUUACAAGAUACUUUCAUAUCUUGUGUCUUGGCAACAAGCUGAUCUAUGUACAAGGAGCCUGCAGACCUAGGAUUCAGAUUGUCUAUAGAUUUAUUUGAAGAGAGUCAUUAACUUUAAAACAGAUAUUUUGUCUAGACAGUUCCUGACAUUUAUAUAUAAACUUUAGCUUCUCGAUAUUCCUGUAACCCGCGCAGGAAAAAGGGUCAUGUUUAUCUAGACUACAUUAAUAAAGUUGAUGCCUACAGAUGA
RNA transcript from Herpailurus yagouaroundi (jaguarundi), 1952 nucleotides. It is a transcript of the gene named C-type lectin domain family 1 member A, with no coding region annotated. The transcript has 9 exons. Lineage: Eukaryota; Metazoa; Chordata; Mammalia; Carnivora; Felidae. The record is from RefSeq and is a predicted model, not a curated record.